CUUUCCUUGAUGACGACUGGCGCACGGGUGAGUAACGCGUAUCCAACCUUCCCAUAACUACGGGAUAACCCGUUGAAAGACGGCCUAAUACCGUAUGAUAUCGUUUGCUGACAUCAAAUAACGAUUAAAGGUUUAGCGGUUAUGGAUGGGGAUGCGUCUGAUUAGCUUGUUGGCGGGGUAACGGCCCACCAAGGCAACGAUCAGUAGGGGUUCUGAGAGGAAGGUCCCCCACAUUGGAACUGAGACACGGUCCAAACUCCUACGGGAGGCAGCAGGC
RNAcentral lists this ribosomal RNA (277 nucleotides) under uncultured Prevotella sp. RNAcentral's name for it is "partial 16S ribosomal RNA". It matches the Rfam family "Bacterial small subunit ribosomal RNA", at positions 79 to 354 of the family's 1533-position model. Lineage: Bacteria; Pseudomonadati; Bacteroidota; Bacteroidia; Bacteroidales; Prevotellaceae. The record is from RNAcentral.